This 346-nucleotide RNase P RNA is filed under the name Bacillota bacterium. RNAcentral's name for it is "Firmicutes bacterium (anaerobic digester metagenome) RNase P RNA component class A". It matches the Rfam family "Bacterial RNase P class A". From Rfam's summary of the family: Ribonuclease P (RNase P) is a ubiquitous endoribonuclease, found in archaea, bacteria and eukarya as well as chloroplasts and mitochondria. Its best characterised activity is the generation of mature 5'-ends of tRNAs by cleaving the 5'-leader elements of precursor-tRNAs. Cellular RNase Ps are ribonucleoproteins. The record is from RNAcentral. Lineage: Bacteria; Bacillati; Bacillota.
CAACCAACCUGGAUGAUCGCGCCAUAAUAUGGUGAGGAAAGUCCGGGCUCCAUAGGGCAGGAUGCUGGGUAACUCCCAGUGAGGGUGACCUCAAGGAUAGUGCCACAGAAAACAGGCCGCCUACUUUUUAGUAGGUAAGGGUGAAAAGGUGCGGUAAGAGCGCACCAGCAUCCGGGUGACCGGAUGGCUUGGUAAACCCCAUCUGGAGCAAGACCGAAUAGGAGGGAAAAAGGUGGCCCGCCUCUCCCUCGGGUUAGGUCGCUAGAAUCUGUAGGUAACUGCAGAUCAAGAUAGAUGAUCAUCGCCCGCAAGGGUACAGAACCCGGCUUAUAGGGUUGGUUGUCAA